RNAcentral lists this ribosomal RNA (457 nucleotides) under uncultured bacterium. RNAcentral describes it as "bacterial SSU rRNA". It matches the Rfam family "Bacterial small subunit ribosomal RNA", at positions 29 to 533 of the family's 1533-position model. The record is from RNAcentral.
AACGAACGCUGGCGGCAGGCCUAACACAUGCAAGUCGAGCGCCCCGCAAGGGGAGCGGCGGACGGGUGAGUAACGCGUGGGAACGUGCCUCUUGCUACGGAAUAGCCUCGGGAAACUGGGAGUAAUACCGUAUGUGCCCUACGGGGGAAAGAUUUAUCGGCAAGAGAUCGGCCCGCGUUGGAUUAGGUAGUUGGUGGGGUAAUGGCCUACCAAGCCGACGAUCCAUAGCUGGUUUGAGAGGAUGAUCAGCCACACUGGGACUGAGACACGGCCCAGACUCCUACGGGAGGCAGCAGUGGGGAAUCUUAGACAAUGGGCGCAAGCCUGAUCUAGCCAUGCCGCGUGAGCGAUGAAGGCCUUAGGGUUGUAAAGCUCUUUCAGUGGGGAAGAUAAUGACUGUACCCACAGAAGAAGCCCCGGCUAACUCCGUGCCAGCAGCCGCGGUAAUGUAGUCGUG